This 295-nucleotide ribosomal RNA is filed under the name uncultured bacterium. Its description in RNAcentral is "partial 16S ribosomal RNA". It matches the Rfam family "Bacterial small subunit ribosomal RNA", at positions 775 to 1067 of the family's 1533-position model. The record is from RNAcentral.
GGAUUAGAUACCCUGGUAGUCCACGCCGUAAACGAUGAGUGCUAGAUAUCGGGAGAUUAUCUUUCGGUUUCGCAGCUAACGCAUUAAGCACUCCGCCUGGGGAGUACGGCCGCAAGGUUAAAACUCAAAGGAAUUGACGGGGGCUCGCACAAGCGGUGGAGCAUGCGGUUUAAUUCGAUGUUACGCGAAAAACCUUACCAACCUUUGACAUGGUGGUCGCGGAUCGCAGAGAUGCUUUCCUUCAGUUCGGCUGGACCACACACAGGUGUUGCAUGGCUGUCGUCAGCUCGUGCCG